GGAGGUACAGCUGAGUGGUAGAGGGCGUGCCUAGCAGGCACAAGGUCCUGGGUUCAAUCUCCAGCACCUCCA
Molecule: transfer RNA, 72 nt
Filed under: Camelus bactrianus (Bactrian camel)
Lineage: Eukaryota; Metazoa; Chordata; Mammalia; Artiodactyla; Camelidae
Also listed under: 2 other names
Rfam family: tRNA
About the family: Transfer RNA (tRNA) molecules are approximately 80 nucleotides in length. Their secondary structure includes four short double-helical elements and three loops (D, anti-codon, and T loops).
Source: Rfam by way of RNAcentral